Molecule: small RNA, 483 nt
Filed under: Pongo abelii (Sumatran orangutan)
Lineage: Eukaryota; Metazoa; Chordata; Mammalia; Primates; Hominidae
Description: processed transcript
Source: RNAcentral
CAUUCAGGAUGUCAUCUUGAAAGCAGAGACCAAGGUCUUCACCAGAGACAAUCUGCCAAUGGCUUGAUUUUGCAUUUCCCAGCCUAUAUAACUAUGUACUGGUUCAUGAAGAUGUUGUGCUUAUGGGUUUCUACUCUAAUGAGGUUUAUAUAACUUUCCAAGACAAGGAAGUUGUCCAAAGCCUCACAGCUACUAAGUGGCUGGGCUGGGACUCAGGAUUAACUUUUCGUGACUCCAAAGCCCGUGCACCUCUGCAAGCCACACGAAUCAAGCAGCUUCUCUAAACCUUUGAAGUCCUGGAAAGUAACUCUUCUGCAAUAGAAGCAAGAAUCCUGUGAGGUUCUGAUCCAUCUAGUACUCUUCACCAUUUGGAACAAUUGCCUCCAGAGAAUGCUUCUGAAGCAUCUUGGAAGAACUUGGAAUAAUUUGAGGAAAUGGUUGAUUCGCUAAUUUAGGAAACCAAUGUUCGAUAGUAAAAAAAGG